UACGUAGGGUGCAAGCGUUGUCCGGAAUUACUGGGCGUAAAGAGCUCGUAGGUGGUUUGUCGCGUUGUUCGUGAAAACUCACAGCUCAACUGUGGGCGUGCGGGCGAUACGGGCAGACUAGAGUACUGCAGGGGGAGACUGGAAUUCCUGUGUAGCGGUGGUGAAUGCGCAGAUAUCAGGAGGAACACCGGUGGCGAAGGCGGGUCUCUGGGCAGUAACUGACGCUGAGGAGCGAAAGCGUGGGGAGCGAACAGG
Molecule: ribosomal RNA, 255 nt
Filed under: uncultured bacterium
Lineage: Bacteria
Description: partial 16S ribosomal RNA
Rfam family: Bacterial small subunit ribosomal RNA
Source: RNAcentral